AGAUUUCGGUACAACACCGGCCCCUGCUAUAAACUAUCCUCAAGUUGGAGAAACAGGAAUCUUCGAAGUGGUUUGAGAAGGGUCGCGGGGGUGCUGGAGCCUAUCUCAACUGCAUUCGGGCGGAAGGCGGGGUACACCCUGGACAAGUCGCCAAAUCCCUCAG
Molecule: long non-coding RNA, 163 nt
Organism: Nerophis lumbriciformis (worm pipefish)
Lineage: Eukaryota; Metazoa; Chordata; Actinopteri; Syngnathiformes; Syngnathidae
Source: RefSeq, a predicted model, not a curated record